Molecule: ribosomal RNA, 481 nt
Filed under: Salmonella enterica
Lineage: Bacteria; Pseudomonadati; Pseudomonadota; Gammaproteobacteria; Enterobacterales; Enterobacteriaceae
Description: partial 23S ribosomal RNA
Rfam family: Bacterial large subunit ribosomal RNA
Source: RNAcentral
GGGUUGUGAGGUUAAGCGACUAAGCGUACACGGUGGAUGCCCUGGCAGUCAGAGGCGAUGAAGGACGUGCUAAUCUGCGAUAAGCGCCGGUAAGGUGAUAUGAACCGUUAUAACCGGCGAUUUCCGAAUGGGGAAACCCAGUGUGACUCGUCACACUAUCAUUAACUGAAUCCAUAGGUUAAUGAGGCGAACCGGGGGAACUGAAACAUCUAAGUACCCCGAGGAAAAGAAAUCAACCGAGAUUCCCCCAGUAGCGGCGAGCGAACGGGGAGGAGCCCAGAGCCUGAAUCAGCAUGUGUGUUAGUGGAAGCGUCUGGAAAGGCGCGCGAUACAGGGUGACAGCCCCGUACACAAAAGCGCAUAUGCUGUGAGCUCGAUGAGUAGGGCGGGACACGUGGUAUCCUGUCUGAAUAUGGGGGGACCAUCCUCCAAGGCUAAAUACUCCUGACUGACCGAUAGUGAACCAGUACCGUGAGGGAAA